Long non-coding RNA from Esox lucius (northern pike), 7123 nucleotides. The record is from Ensembl. NCBI's taxonomy places the organism in Eukaryota, Metazoa, Chordata, Actinopteri, Esociformes, Esocidae.
CAAAAACAAGUCCCUGCAAAAAUCUUGUUCUCUCUCCCUGGCUAUCCAGAGAAGCAGCUGGAGAGAACAAGAAAGGGAGACCAAAUUCCUGUCUGCUCUCCUCACCGCCUGAAAGGACCCCACAUGAAAGUUGGGAAAUCUAGUGCUGGUGUUUGCCAAGCAACAAUCUCUUGACCCCUGUCUCGCUCCCCCCAUACCCAAUAAAAUGCACAAUGUGUUUCCCCUAGCAGUGAAGCAGUCGUCUCUGCAGCUGGCACUAAUUUCCUUCUUGGUUCACAUAAUGUUCUCUCUGCUUUGCAGAGGAUACUGGGAGACAGCAGGGUAAAGGCUGUGGUGUGUGGAGGGGGGUAAGAGGAAUGGGCAGGGGGACCACUGUCCCUCUCUUUGGGGGUUUAGGAGUGAUGUUAUUUCACUACACUCAGCAUCCCUCCAACUCAUGCCCGCCUGCCCUCUCAAUCAUGUCCCUCCCACACACAUACACACUCUUGUAGGGUGUAGAAGUUCUGAUGCUGGGAUAACAGUGUUAUGCAUGAAAUAAAGAUGACGGAUUAGAGAGAGACAAAUGAAAAAGUGUGGUAGAAUACAGGGAGGAAGGAGGAUACUGUGAGAUAUGCCAGUCAGUGACAGCUGCAGAGAAAGUGCUGAGCCGGCUUUUGGGCCUGAGGGCUAUUCCCCUCGUUGCACUCUGCAGUUUUUCUUACAAUCUUUCUCUCUAAGAAUAAUUUUUUCUUGUUUCAAUUGCUUUCUUUUCUUCUCCCUCUUCUCUCUGUCUUCCCAUUGACCUUUCUUCCACACCUUUUUUUUAUCAUUGCUUUUUAUUAUCCGUUUCCUACUAGCCUAAGCUGAUAACAGCACAUUCACAGUUUACCAAUCUCGGCUGUAAAUGGCCGUCAGGUAUUUAAUGGUGUUCCAGUUGUUGUUUUUUUUGUUCUCAAAUAUACACCGAUCAGCCAUAACAUUAUGACCACUGACAGGUGAGGUGAAUAACACUGAUAAUCUCGUUAUCAUGGCACCUACCAGUGGGUGGGAUAUAUUAGGCAGCAAGUUAACUUUCUGUCCUCUAUGUUGAUGUGUUUGAAGCAGGAAAAAUGGGCAAGCAUAAGGAUCUGAGCCACUUUGACAAGGGCCAAAUUGCGAGGGCUAGAUUACUGGGUCAAAGCAACUCCAAAACUGCAGCCCUUGUGGGGCGUUCUCAGUCUGCAGUAGUCAGUACCUGUCAAAAGUGGUCCAUGGAAGGAAAAGCAGUGAACCAGUGACAGGGUCAUGGGCGGCCAAUGCUCACUGAUGCAUGUGGGGAGUGAAGGCUGGCCUGUGUUGUCCGAUCCAACAGAAGAGCUACUUUAGCUCAAAUUGUUGAAAAAGUUAAUGCUGGUACUGAAAGGAAGGUAUCAGAACACAGUGCAUCGAAGUUUGUUGCGUAUGGGGCUGCGUAGCCACAGACCAUUCAGGAUGCCCAUGCUUCAGAACUUGACCACGGAGCAAUGGAAGGAGGCCAGGUCUGAUGAAUCUCGUUUUCUUUUACAUCACAUGGAUGGCUGAGUGCGUGUGUGUCACUUAGCUGGAGAACAACAUGGCACCAGGAUGCACUAUGGGAAGAAGGCAAGCCGAUGGAGGCAGUGUGAUGCUUUCGCCAAUGUUCUGCUGGGAAACCUUGGGUCCUGCCCUUCAUGUGGAUGUUACUUUGACACACCACCUACCUGAGCAUUGUUGCAGACCAUGUACACCCUUUCAUGGCAAUUAUUCCCUGAUGGCAUUGGCCUCUUACAGCAGGAUCAUGCGCCCUGCCACAAAGCAAAAAUGGUUCAGGAAUGGUUUGAGGAACACAACAACGAGUUCAAGUUGUUGACUUGGCCUCCAAAUUCCCCAGAUCUCGAGAAGAAUUAAAGGUGAAGCUAUCAGGAACCCAUUAUCCUCCAGUGCCGCCAUAUUUCAGAACUGCAACCUACUUGGAUUGUUCGGAAGUACAAGGUGUCAAGUGACCAGAGACAUGGCCAAAUUAAGAAGGCUGAAAGUAGACCACCAUUGAAUAAGAUUCACACAUUGAAGCUUAUAGAUUUUGCAAAGAAAUAUAGAUUUUUAAAAGAUUUUAUGGACAGAUGAAAUGAGUGACUCUUGAUGGACCAGAUGGAUGGGCCUGUAGCUGGAUCACUAAUGAACACAGGGCACCAUUUCGAGUCAGUCUCCAGCAAGGUGGAGAAGGGGUACUGGUAUGGGCUGCUAUCAUUAAGGAUGGGGUAGUUGGACCUUUUUGGGUUGAAGAUGGACUGAAACUCAACUCCCAUACCUACUGCCAGUUUCUGGAAGAUAAUUUCUUCAAGCAGUGGUACAGGAAGAAGUCCUCAGCAUUCAAGAAGGCCAUGUUCUUUAUGUAGGACAAUGCUCCAUCACAUGCAUCCAAGUAUUCCACUGCUUGGCUAGCAAGCAAGGGCCUCAAAGAUGCCAGAAUAAUGACCUGGCCCCCCUCCUUACCUGACUUAAAUCCUAUAUAGAACUUGUGGACGCUUCUCAAACAUGAGAUUUACUGUCAGGAAAGAGAAUACACCUCUUUGAACAGCAUUUGGGAGGCUGUGGGUGCUGCUUUAGCAAAAGUUGAUUGUGAACAGAUCAAGAAACUGACAAACUUCAUGGAUGGACGGCUCAUGGCAGUUAUUGAAAAGAAGGGUGGCUAUAUCGGUCACUGAAUAUAUUUGAAAGGCCAGAAAUGUUAUUUAAUUUUAAUUUUGUGUUACUUAUUUGUUGCAAUUUGCAAUUUGAAAUAAACAAGUGAGUUGGAGAAAUAUGCUUUGUAAUUCAGUUAGUAAUUCUGCAUACUUCCCCUGAGAAAGAUCAAAACUCACUUUUCCUUUGUUAAACAUUCAGGUUUGAGGUAAAAUUAUAUUUUGGAUUGACUGAGAGCAUUGUGUUUGUCCAACAAUGAAAUUAAUCUUGAGGAAUACAAUUUGCCUAAUAAUUGUGCACACAGUGUAUGCCCUAAUGUUGUCACUUGAGAAGUAUCCAUGCACAAACCACUAAAACUACCCCAAAAUGUAUAAUGAUAAAAUGCUGACUCCUAUCUAAAACAUUUUAUUCUCCAGAAAUUAGCUCAUUAAAAUAUUGGCCCGUAUUGCCUGGCCAAAAAUUGUGCUUUUUAGUGAACAUUUUAACCUAUAGCAUGAUUGAUGCAGCAUAAAACAAAAGUUGUUUUCUGUUCACACACUGGAUAUAUAAAUCCGUUUUUAUUUCUAUUUGAUUGAGUUUAAAAUUAAAGGUAAUUUAACAAAAUAAUUCAGGGAACACUUAAAUCACACAUUGGGACAAAAGAUCAAUCUGUACUGUACAUUGUGUAAUUCAUUGAGAACAAAAUGACAUAACAGUCAGUGGAAUCCAAAAUCACAAACUGAUUGAGGGCUGGAUUCAACCCUCACAGCGGAAAUCAAAGUAAACAAUUGAAACUACAGGCUGUUCCAACUUGCGUGAAUUUCAACACCAUGUGUCUCAGUGGUGUGUACGGCCCCCACUAGCCUGUAUGCUCUCCCGACAACGUCUGGGCAUGCUCCUGAUGAGAUAGCAGAUGUUGUCCUGGACAUCGAAUGCACCGAUACAUAACAUCUCAGAGGUUCUGAAUUGGAUUCAGGUCUGGGGAAGGUGAGGGCCAGUCAAUGGCAGCAAUGCCUUCGUCAUCCAGGAACUGCCUACACUCUGGCCACAUUAGGCCAGAAAUUGUCCUGCACCAGAAGGAACCCAGGGCACACUGCACCAGUGUAGGGUCUGACUAUAGGUCUGAGGAUUUCAUCCCGCUAACCAGCAACAAUCAGGGUACCGUUGGCUAGCACAUGGAGAUCUGUGCGACCCUCCAAGGAUAUGCCUCCCCAGACCAUCACUGACCCACUGCCAAACUGGUCAUGCUAGAUGAUGUUGCAGGCAGCAUAACAUUCACACCUACAUGAAGUUGUCCCCUCACCCAACGCAAAACCUCUGCAAAAUAAAUUAAAUUGUUUGUGCUGGUUUGUGCCGUUUAAAUUUUUGUUUAUGCUGCUAUCAUUUUAAAGAUAUUAUAGAAUAUUUUGUAGGUCAAAUUCACUCAAAAUAGGCUCAAACAUUUGUGCUCCAUUUGUGCUGAUAAAGGUUUGUUUUUACGACUGCUUUCUUACCGAUAGUAACCGCUAUAGUGGAAAGAGUGGAAAGCCAGUGUGCUAUUUUGAGUGAAUCUGGUUCAUGUUGGGGGGCUGAGUGUCCUCAGAAUGACCUAUACAAUAUUAUUAAAUAUUAAAAAAAUGACAGCAGCACAAACGAAUGAGCCUAUUUUGACUCAGUUUGGAGCGUGUUGGGAGGCUGAGUGAUGUCAUCACCAAUGAUUAAAUGUCUCAUAUAUAAAAUACAGAAGCAGUACAAAUGAAAUGUUAAUGACACAAACCAGCACAAACGGAGUAGAAAUGAUUGAGCCUAUUUUGCCAAAGUUUUGCAUUGGGUGGGGGGCCAACUUCACGUUGGGGUGAAUGUUAUGCUUCCUGUAACAUCAUCUAGCAUGACCGGUUUGGCGGUGGGUCAGUGAUGGUCACGCAGGUAAAAUUCACCAUGGCGUCUCUAGACUCUUUUACGUCUGUCACAUGCUCAGUGUGAACCUACUCUCAUCUGUCACGAGAACGAGGCACCAAUGGCAGACAUGCCAAUUGUGGCAAACUCUGGCAAAUGCCAAUCAAGCUGCAUGGUGCUGAACUGUGACCACAGGUCCCACUAGAUGAUGUCGGGCUGUCAUGCAACCCUCAUGGAGUCUGUUUCUGACAGUUUGGUCAGAAACAUGCACACCAGUAGCCUGCAGGAGGUCAUUUUGUAGGGCUCUGGGAGUGCUCCUUCUGUUUCUCCUCGCACAAAGAACUGAAGGUCUGGCUGCUGGGUUGAUGCCCUGUCCAGCUCUCCUUGUGUAACAGCCGUCUCCUGGUAUCUCUUCCGUGUUCUUGAGACUGGACCGGGAGACAUAGCAACCCUUCUUGCUACAGCACCUAUGGAUGUGCCAUCCUGGAGGAGCUGGACUACCUGUGCAACCUGAAUGGUCUGCAGGUACACUGCAAAACAUAUGUGGCUUAUCAAGUGUAUGUAUUUUAUCUUCAGGUUAAAAAUCCCUAAAAUAAGGAAUAUUUUUCUUAACAAGCUAGAUUAUAUUGCUUGUUUUUAGAAUGUAUGCCUUGAAUAUCGUGUAAUUUGUCUUGUUCCAUUGGCAGAUUAUUUCAAGCAAAUAUCUUCUCAAAUUUAGUUAAAUUGUCAUUUAAGAUACUAGCAAAAUGCAAAACUAGAGAAGAAUCAGUCAGUCAGGAUAAGGAGAGAGCAAUUGUAUGUGGCCAUCACCCGCAAAACUCUUCCCUUUUUGGGGGUUUUCUUGUUGUUGCCUUUCCAGUGCACCUGUUGUCACUUUCAUUUGUAUCAAACAGGUGACAUUGUUUCACAAUAGCUUAUGCUUCCUGUUGUACUUUCGUUAAGAUUUAGAAAUAUUCAAGGAGGCUCUGGGUGUACGCAGACUAACUUAUACCAUGAAGUUUUAUUAACAACUUUCAGAUACGUUACAUCAGUGCUCACUCUUCAGCGGCAGCAUACACACUGAACCUUCUAGAGCAUAAACAUUGCUAACAAAUUCUAUAGCCAAUAAGAACAAACACUGCAAUAUUUCUGGAAUGUGAUUGGUUCUUAGCAGAACGUAAGAAUACUACAUCCCCCUUCUUUUGAAAUAAAACAAUGCAAGGAAAAUAUUGCAAAAACCCCAUUACAUGAAAUAAACAUAUAGCUUUCAAGAGUCACAUGCACAAACUAAAUCACAUGUAUUAUUAUAGCAAAGUACUGGUAUACUGUAGGUGUUCAUAUAUUAUUGGAUUGUCACAUGACAAAACACAAACUGCAUUGAACAUUUCUUUUUUCUAAGGGCAGCGAUCCGCCUACACCCUUGUACAAUCACAGAUCCAGAAUAACGCUGGGUUUAAUCUGGCGUCCGUACCUGGAUCCGCAAAUGACGGAUUUGGGCAGAUCAUCAGUGUGGUCAGGUGUGUGUGUAAUGUCACUGUGUGGUGCACUGUUGAUUGGUGUUUCCCAUAGCUCAGCACCAUCAUGACCUAAAGAGAUGUCAGAACUGCCCUGAGGUUCCUUUGUGUCCAGGAGGUGGCGUCUGUUUCGCCGAUAUUCCCGUCCAUCAGAGGAGCUGCUGAUUGGUGUUUGGUAGGGUUGACCGCAGACGGCGACUCAUCAACAGCUGAGCUGGGGACUUGAAACCAUCAACAGGGCUAUUGCGAUACUCCAGGAGACUGAGGAUCUGGCAAACGUCGCAAACUCACCCGAGCUGUACUGGGGGCCGUUGUCUGAGAUGACAGCCUCUGGAAUGCCAUGUCGGGCAAAAGCGGCUUUUAGUUUAUCUAUCACAGCAGUUGAGGUGGUGCUGCUGAGCUUGUCCAGCUCAAAAUAUCUGCUGUAGUAGUCUACUGUCACAAGAUAAUCCUCAUUGCUUCAGGCCAGAACAUGAUGUCACGGGCUCUCUGCUUGGUUUUCUCUAUGCCUAAGUGACUGGCAUGUACGCGUGACAGCAUGUCUGAACGAAGACUUGUGGGAACAACAACUUUUUCACCUUUGAAGAUGAUUCCAUGCAGGUAGGAAAGCUCAUCACGGUGGUUCCAGAAUUCUGACACACUCAUGGGACACUUCCUCUUUUCCUCAGGCCAUCCUCUUAGUAUCACUCCUUUCAGAGUCUGAAACUGUGGAUCUUUUCCCGUUUGAGCUCUGAUUUCCUCCAAUUUUGAGUCACUGACAGGAAGACUGCUGUACACUGUGUGCACUUGAAUGUCCAUACCUUCACUUAGGCUUGUCCUGGUCAGACAGCGACUUUCUGGACAAUGUGUCUGCAAUAGGGAUAUCCUUGCCAGGUCGAUGCACAAUGGUGAAGUUGUACUUUUGGAGCUGAAGGAUCCUCCUCUGUAGCCUUGGGGGAACUGAUGCCAGGGCUUUCCGCAUUAUUGACUCAAGGGGCUUGUGGUCACUUUCAACAAUGAUUUGACGCCCAUAGAUGUAUUGAUGGAAACGCUUGCAACCAAAUAGUAUGGCAAAAAGUUAUUUCUCAAUUUGAGCAUAAUUGAUUUCGCAUUCAGAAAGUGACUUUGAUGCAUACGCG